Long non-coding RNA from Galleria mellonella (greater wax moth), 1370 nucleotides. RefSeq lists it as uncharacterized. Lineage: Eukaryota; Metazoa; Arthropoda; Insecta; Lepidoptera; Pyralidae. The record is from RefSeq and is a predicted model, not a curated record. The transcript has 3 exons.
CCACAUGCAAUUGCAUAUACCUAAAUAAACUACAAAUAUUCAAUGUCAUUGUCAAGUAUCAUAAUUUAAUAGCUUGGUUAUCGAUCUUUGAUAAUAGAUAUUCUACUACUCAUAUCACGCUAUUUGGAAAACUGCAAUUUAUUAUGAAGUGACAUUUGAUACAGAUGAUCUCGGCUUACAAUUUAUGUACAUACAAAUGAUAAUGCAUAGAUAACCAUGUAUAUAUCUAUAGGUAUAAAUAUAAAUAAAAAAUGAAUGUGUUUUAUUACGUGGCCUGUUUCACGUAGGCACGGAUUGUACAAAAUUCUAUAAAAUCUUGAAGACGGAAUAAUUGUCAAAAAUUCUCGUAAUCUUCAGGAUAUUCUAAGAGGAAACUAAGAGAACGAUGCUCCCUAUAUUAGAGCUGGAGCGGAAACUCUUGAAUGGAAAUCCUAUGCUUGAUCUUGUUAAUGUAUUGAACACAGAAUCUUGCUUUAGAAGAAGAGGAAAGCCUAUGUUCAGCAGUGGGCAGGUAACAGUUGAUAUGACGAUGAUAAUAAAUAGCAGAACGCAACAUGGUUACAAAUAGACAACUAUAUAACAUCCCAGACAUAUCUACUGAUUGGUGAUUGAACAUUGAACCGUGUUAGUCAGUGAUUACCUAUACGUAUAGACAGUAUCAAUAUUGUUGACGUUUCUCGUUCCUCGCAGUGGUCAGUAAAAAAUAAUGUAAAUUCGCUCUUAGAAUGUCUUACAAAAAAUUUCCCUUUUAAAAUACAAUUAAAAAAUAAUACUAUCUUAAUUUCAUCUUUUUCCAGGAAAGCGCAUUGUUUUCAAUUUCGCAACACAAUGAACGCUUUUUGUUGCAUCAAAGGCUAAAGUUUAUUGUUUGUUCAUACUAAACUAGCAAGACUUUGUCCAUUCCAGUCAAAGUUCCUACUAAUAGCGAUGUCGUGAUAGAGCGAGUUGGGUCGAUUCAUAGCGAUUUAUCGAUUAAUUUGCUACAUAAUCAUCGAUUACGGGCAGUCUGAUGGCAACACUAAUUGUUGUACUAUUGAGUUUAUCGUCUUAAUUUCAGUGAUACUUCAUAGAAAAACGGCAGUAUAGCAGUACAGCUAGUAGUUAUACAUUCGAGAAAUUGUAACAUUUCAAAAGUGACUAAGUGCAUACGACAGAAGGUCCCUUCUCCCAACGGGCCUAUAGACCCUGAUCAAAGAAGCAAGAUUUACGGGUACACAUCGACACAAACCAAACGCCCGGAACUUGAAUGAUGAAAGAGAAUAUUACGGGAGAACUUCAACUGAUCUGGGCCACGUGUUUAUUCGUAAGAUGCGACUAAGAAAAUAAAGCACAAUUCCAUUAUAUCUUGGGAAUAAAAAGGAGUUGUGAUA